This 548-nucleotide long non-coding RNA is filed under the name Homo sapiens (human). Its description in RNAcentral is "HSALNT0172560". Lineage: Eukaryota; Metazoa; Chordata; Mammalia; Primates; Hominidae. The record is from RNAcentral.
CUCCUGCCUCAGCCUCCUGAGUAGCUGGGAUUACAGGCAUGCACCACCACGCCCAGCUAAUUUUGUAUUUUUAGUAGAGAUGGGGUUUCUCCAUGUUGGUCAGGCUGGUCUCAAACUCCUGACUUCAGGUGAUCCAGCCACCUCGGCCUCCCAAAGUGCUGGGAUUAUAGGUGUGAGCCACCGCACAUGGCAACACGUUCUACAUUUCAAAGUGACAUAAGAAUAAUUUUUAAAAAUUCCAACACUCCAAGGCUGGGCGUGGUGGCUCACGCCUGUAAUCCCAGCACUUUGGGAGGCCAAGGUGGGUGGAUCACGAGGUCAGGAGAUCGAGACGAUCCUGGCUAACACCGUGAAACCCCAACUCUACUAAAAAUACAAAAAAUUAGCCAGGAGUAGUGGCACAUGACUGUAGUCCCAACUACUUGGGAGGCUGAGGCAGGAGAAUCGCUUGAACCUGGGAGGCAGAGGUUGCAGUUAGCUGAGAUCGCGCCACUGCACUCCAGCCUGGGCGACAGAAUGAGACUCCGUCUCAAAAAAAAAAAAAAAAA